Danio rerio (zebrafish) is the source of this 73-nucleotide non-coding RNA. The record is from Rfam. Lineage: Eukaryota; Metazoa; Chordata; Actinopteri; Cypriniformes; Danionidae.
AACGAAAUAGCUCAGUUGGGGAUGUGUUAGACUGAAGAUUUAAAGGUUCCUGGUUCGAUCCCGGGUUUUGGCA